Molecule: ribosomal RNA, 433 nt
Filed under: uncultured bacterium
Lineage: Bacteria
Description: partial 16S ribosomal RNA
Rfam family: Bacterial small subunit ribosomal RNA
Source: RNAcentral
AACGAACGCUGGCGGCAUGCCUAACACAUGCAAGUCGAACGAGACCUUCGGGUCUAGUUGCGCACGGGUGCGUAACGCGUGGGAACCUGCCCUUAGGUUCGGAAUAACUCCCCGAAAGGGGUGCUAAUACCGGAUAAUGCCUUCGGACCAAAGAUUUAUCGCCUUUGGAUGGGCCCGCGUUGGAUUAGCUAGUUGGUAGGGUAAAAGCCUACCAAGGCGACGAUCCAUAGCUGGUCUGAGAGGAUGAUCAGCCACACUGGGACUGAGACACGGCCCAGACUCCUACGGGAGGCAGCAGUGGGGAAUAUUGGACAAGGGGCGAAAGCCUGAUCCAGCAAUGCCGCGUGAGUGAUGAAGGCCUUAGGGUUGUAAAGCUCUUUUACCCGGGAUGAUAAUGACAGUACCGGGAGAAUAAGCUCCGGCUAACUCCGUG